UAAAGGUUUGGUCCCAGCCUUUCUAUUAGUUCUAAACAGACUUACACAUGCAAGCAUCUACACCCCGGUGAGAACACCCUCUAAAUCAUCAAGGAUCAAAAGGAGUGGGCAUCAAGCACACUAGCAAUAGCAGCUUACGACGCCUCGCUUAGCCACACCCCCACGGGACACAGCAGUGAUAAAAAUUAAGCCAUGAACGAAAGUUUGACUAAGUCAUGUUUACAAGGGUUGGUAAACUUCGUGCCAGCCACCGCGGUCAUACGAUUAACCCAAAUUAAUAGGAAUACGGCGUAAAGAGUGUUAAGGAAUUACAUAAAAUAAAGUCAAGCCUUAAUUAAGCUGUAAAAAGCCCUAAUUAAAACUAAGCUAAACUACGAAAGUGACUUUAAUAUAAUCUGAUUACACGACAGCUAAGAUCCAAACUGGGAUUAGAUACCCCACUAUGCUUAGCCAUAAACUCUAAUAGUCACGAAACAAGACUACUCGCCAGAGUACUACUAGCAACAGCCUAAAACUCAAAGGACUUGGCGGUGCUUCAUACCCCCCUAGAGGAGCCUGUUCUAUAAACGAUAAACCCCGAUCAACCUCACCAACCCUUGCUACUACAGUCUAUAUACCGCCAUCUUCAGCAAACCCCAAAGGGAACGAAAGUAAGCAUAAACAUCCCACAUAAAAACGUUAGGUCAAGGUGUAACCUAUGGGUUGGGAAGAAAUGGGCUACAUUUUCUAUAUUAAGAACAUUCCUUAUACUCACACGAAAGUUUUUAUGAAACUUAAAAACCAAAGGAGGAUUUAGCAGUAAAUCAAGAGCAGAGUGCUUGAUUGAAUAAGGCCAUGGAGCACGCACACACCGCCCGUCACCCUCCUCAAGUACCCUAGCAAAGCCCCAGUUCGUUGACCCACGCUAAGCAAUCAUACGAGAGGAGACAAGUCGUAACAAGGUAAGCAUACCGGAAGGUGUGCUUGGACAAAC
Molecule: non-coding RNA, 973 nt
Filed under: Eubalaena japonica (North Pacific right whale)
Lineage: Eukaryota; Metazoa; Chordata; Mammalia; Artiodactyla; Balaenidae
Description: 12S ribosomal RNA
Rfam family: Bacterial small subunit ribosomal RNA
Source: RNAcentral